UACACAUUUAGAGCACAAGUCCCGGAGAUCUCUGAUUUAUCCUGCGAAUGAUGGAUUUAGUGUUUGAGUUCCUUGGACAAGUCCCAUUGCUGCAGAGACUCCCCAGUUCUUCACUUACAAAGAUCGCUGAGCUCAUCCUGGUGAAUAUGUUGUUCGAGAGGGGGAAGUUGGGGAGGCACUGUACAUUAUUUGGGAGGGUGAGGGUUUCAAUAUUCAAAGGGAAGCAGGAGCAAUAUUAAAAAGGUUGAAGAAGAAAAAUUUCAUCUGGGAAGCACUCAUUUAUCUCAUUUAUGAAGAUUUAGUUUGGUGUGUCACCCAUAAUAGUGUUUGAUCUUUUUUAUGAAGUUUCAUCUAGAGAGAGUUCAUGGCUUCCCUCUCUGUUGCACUUCAAUAUUACAUACAUUUGAGAUUGAACCGGACUCAAGGAUGGUAGUCUACAAAGGAUACUUAUCUCUCUAAUUAUAUUCAUAGAGCUCUCCAUUGGGUGAUUAUGUGAAGGUAAUCUUAUCUGAUUCAAAUGUUCCUGGCGAAGGAGAGCAGAAAAUCAUGACAUACACUUCUGACUCGUCGUUUUGAAGAACUUCUCCCUAUUUUUUCUAUUCCCACAACACCGCCAUCGUCCAAACUUUUUUUAUGUGCAGGAUGCAGAUCUGAUAAUGCUCUCUCUUGCUACACAUGAAGUUUAUUUCUCAAUUUUAAGAGAGGUGGUUACAAUGCUAGGGCAACAAGAUAAAUGCUUUUCCUGUGGUCAAGUAGGACAUCUUGCAACUGAAUGUAGAGGUACAGAAGCAAAUGACAAGAUUUAUAUUACAAUUCACAAGAAGAAAUACCAGUUCCUAAACAUCUGGGUAGUGCGGGAGUACUGGGAGAAUGAUCUGGACAUAUCACAUCCUCCGUUUGAGAUAAACUUUGAACGUAUUGUGGAUGAUUUUGUUUUCAUGUGCUUCUUUGUGGGAAAUGACUUUUUACCACACAUGCCCACUCUUGAAAUCCAUGAGGUUCAUAACAGGCCUUAUCAAGUGCUUGAAAAUUUUAAGCUUAAUGCCUGAAUUGUUUCAAUACUUUGUUGAGCACACAUUUAUUCACUGUAUAUCCUGAGCUUGAAUAUGUCGAGUUACUUAUAUCUUAUUUCCUGUGAUCUCUCUGUGUUUUAGGACGCAAUCAAUAUGCUAAUGUUUAUCUAUAUAAGGGUCUUCUCAGCGAUGGGCGGUUACCUCACUGAUGCUGGAGAGGUAUUUUUUCUCUUAUCAGACAACAUCUUUGAUUUUUAUUUAGAGGUAGCACAUUUUGUAAAAUUUCAUGUUUUUGGGAAUUGCAAGCCUAUGAACCUGCAUUGGUUCUCUUUUAUUUUUGGGAAUUGUAAAAUUUCAUGUUUUUGGGAAUUGCAAGCAUGUGAAAUGUUGUGAUUAAUAUUUUUUGGGAUUUUUUUCCUGAUAAAAUGUUAAAGUUCAAGGGAGUUUUAUGAUAACCACUAAAUCUACAGGAUGUUUUCUUAUAUUUUGAAAAUUAUAUGAGAGUUGUGUUAUAAAUCUUCCGAAGCUAAGAUGUACUCUUGCAAAUAAUUAGCCUAAAAAUAAUAAUAACAGCCCUUGAGCAAAACUACCGUAGGAAACAAUUGUUAUGCAAUUUGUUGAAUCACAAGAAUACAAUAUUUUUAGUUGUAUAGUAUGCAUUUGGAUCUGCACCAUCCUGACUCUUAUGGAUAAGGUACUUUUUUGCUGCAUUUGACAUAAUUCUACUUGUUUACAUGUGUUUAUGUAAUUUAAAUGUGAGUAUAUAAUUUCAGAUACAACAGCUUUUUUAUCUUAUACUAUCCUGGCAUCACAAGCAAGGACAACAUGAUAUUUAUAGCUCUGGACUACAUCAAAGUACCAAAAAUGUUUCAUUGCAUAUUGGGUUUCAUCUAUUGGCUAUCAUGAGGGAAUGACUUCAUCCUUUGGUUUUUGGUAAUGACAGUCCUCUGAAAAAUACUUCAUUAGGAUACCAAACUAGUGGAACUUCUAUUCCGAUUAUUUCUAUGCAACUAUCAUUGCUCUUGAAAAUUAUGUGCCAAGUAUGUAUCUUAUAUUAUCAAAAUCUAUGUCAAUAUUUAUCACAAAAAAAUUGUUACUUCCUAUUUGGUCAUCGAUAAACUUCUUUUGUUAGAACACAUCUUGUCAUAGGGAGCCCACACAUGUAUACUUACAUGCUCAGGCGGCGAAAGAAGGAUCUUUCAAAGGCGAAGAUGGAAUGAAAUGUGAUGAAAGAAGGAAUAGUAAAUAUUUAUUAAUGUAUUAUUUGAAGAAUGCAUAGCUGUUAGAUGGUGGCUCUGCAUGAGUGGUUGUAUUGGUGUUCUCUAAUCCCUAAGAUUGUCUUCUUGUUGGAAGGGAGUGCUUUUGGUAUAGUUGUGAAUGUAUUCCUCUGAAAAAACAUAUUGCCAAUGUUUUAUGAUUUAUGGAUUAAAUGUUUUUGAUUUCAUCUAUGUGCUCAUCUAAAAAAGCCUUAUUUUAUGAAACGUGAUAACAGUGAACUUA
This is an RNA transcript of Asparagus officinalis (garden asparagus), 2513 nucleotides long. It is a transcript of the gene named 5'-3' exoribonuclease 4-like, with no coding region annotated. Lineage: Eukaryota; Viridiplantae; Streptophyta; Magnoliopsida; Asparagales; Asparagaceae. The transcript is spliced from 8 exons. The record is from RefSeq and is a predicted model, not a curated record.